UCUGGUUGAUCCUGCCAGUAGUUAUAUGCUUGUCUCAAAGAUUAAGCCAUGCAUGUUUAAGUACACACGAAUUAAAAGUGAAACCGCAAAAGGCUCAUUAUAUCAGUUAUGGUUCCUUAGAUCGUUAACAGUUACUUGGAUAACUGUGGUAAUUCUAGCGCUGAUACAUGCAAUUGAAACAUGAACCUUAUGGGACAUGUGCUUUUAUUAGACUAAAACCAAGCCAUCGCAAAAUCGUUAUAUUGUUUGAACUCUAGAUAACAUGCAGAUCGUAUGGUCUUGUACCGACGACAGAUCUUUCAAAUGUCUGCCCUAUCAACCUUUGAUGGUAGUAUCUAGGACUACCAUGGUUGCAACGGGUAACGGGCAAUCAGGGUUCGAUUUCGGAGAGGGAGCCUGAGAAACGGCUACCACAUCUAAGGAAGGGAGCAGGCGCGUAAAUCAUUCACUCCCAGCUCGGGGAGGUAGUGACGAAAAAUAACAAUACAGGACUCAUAUCCGAGGCCCUGUAAUGGGAAUGAGUACACUUUAACAAGGACCAAUUGGAGGGCAAGUCUGGUGCCAGCAGCCGCGGUGAUUCCAGCUCCAAUAGCGUAUAUUAAAGUUGUUGCGUUUAAAACGUUUGUAGUUGACCUUGUACUUCAUACGGGUAGUACAACUUACACUUGUGGUUAGUACUAUACCUUUAUGUAUGUAAGCGUAUUACCGGUGGAGUUCUUAUAUGUGAUUAUAUACUUGUAUUUUUUCAUAUGUUCCUCCUAUUUAAAAACCUGCAUUUGGGGUCAUUACGUAUUACGACACGGGAGGUGAAAUUCUUGGACCGUCGUAAGACUAACUUAAGCGAAAGCAUUUGCCAAAGAUGUUUUCAUUAAUCAAAAACGAAAGUUAGAGGUUCGAAGGCGAUCAGAUACCCCCCUAGUUCUAACCAUAAACGAUGCCAGCUAGCAAUUUGGUGUAGCUACUUUUAUGGCUCUCUCAGUCGCUUCCCGGGAAACCAAAGCUUUUGGGCUCCGGGGGAAGUAUGGUUGCAAAGCUGAAACUUAAAGGAAUUGACGGAAGGGCACCACCGGCUUAAUUUGACUCAACACGGGAAAACUUACCAGGUCCGAACAUAAGUGUGUAAGACAGAUUGAUAGCUCUUUCUUGAAUCUAUGGGUGGUGGUGCAUUGCCGUUCUUAGUUCGUGGAGUGAUUUGUCUGGUUAAUUCAGAAAACGAACGAGGCUAUAUUAAAGAGAUAUCUUCAGGAUUAUGGAGCUGAAGCUUAUAUAGCCUUCAUUCAUGGUGGCAGUAAAAUGUUUAUUGUGUUUGAAUAUGUUUAUGUAAGUGGAGCCGUACCUGUUGGUUUGUCCCAUUAUAAGGACACUAGCUUCUUAAAUGGACAAAUUGCGUCUAGCAAUAAUGAGAUUGAGCAAUAACAGGUCUGUGAUGCCCUUAGAUGUCCUGGGCUGCACGCGCGCUUCAAUGAAAGUAUCAACGUGUUUUUCCUAGACCGAGAGGUCCGGGUAAACCGCUUAACCACUUUCAUGCUUGGGAUUGUGAACUGAAACUGUUCACAUGAACUUGGAAUUACCAAGCGAAAAGAAAACAGUUCAGCACUAAGUCACUUUGUCUAUAUGGCAAAUGU
This 1625-nucleotide ribosomal RNA is filed under the name Drosophila erecta. Its description in RNAcentral is "SSU rRNA". It matches the Rfam family "Eukaryotic small subunit ribosomal RNA". The record is from RNAcentral. Lineage: Eukaryota; Metazoa; Arthropoda; Insecta; Diptera; Drosophilidae.